Molecule: long non-coding RNA, 508 nt
Organism: Hydra vulgaris (swiftwater hydra)
Lineage: Eukaryota; Metazoa; Cnidaria; Hydrozoa; Anthoathecata; Hydridae
Source: RefSeq, a predicted model, not a curated record
UUAACGAAUUACCAUUCAACCAUGUAGAAAGCUUCCUUGAUUUUGAUAAUAAAUUGAAGACUGGUUUAGUAAUGAUGCAAAAACUGAAAUGCUUUAUCAUGUUAAAUGUGAAAAGUACAUUAAAACUUUCUGAAAAUUUUUCUUUUAUAAUUCCUAAGAUUAUUUUACCAAAUAUUCAAGUGCUAUUCAGUGCUUUUGGGCGAGAAUCAAGAUUAUUUACCAAAUAUUCAAGCGCUAUUCAGUGCUUUUGGGCGAGAAUCAAACGGUGUAAAAAAGUUAAAUUUCUCUGGUACAGAAACUUACAAAUAUUUGCUAGAAGUAAUUAGAAAGAAAUUUCCUGACAUAAAUGAAAAAGAAAUUUCAAGUCAAAUAAGUCGCUGGUUUUCAGGUGCAAAGGAUAGAGAUGGUGGAAAGAGAUACCGAUUAUUAAAAUAAAAAAAGUCGUGAAGAGCGAAAGGAUAUCGAAAAUGAAGACGAAAUUCUAUAAUUUUAUCUAUUUGUAAUAAUA